GAUGAACGCUGGCGGCGUGCCUAAUACAUGCAAGUCGAGCGAACGGACGAGAAGCUUGCUUCUCUGAUGUUAGCGGCGGAGGGGUGAGUAACACGUGGAUAACCUACCUAUAAGACUGGGAUAACUUCGGGAAACCGGAGCUAAUACCGGAUAAUAUUUUGAACCGCAUGGUUCAAAGGUGAAAGACGGUCUUGCUGUCACUUAUAGAUGGAUCCGCGCUGCAUUAGCUAGUUGGUAAGGUAACGGCUUACCAAGGCAACGAUGCAUAGCCGACCUGAGAGGGUGAUCGGCCACACUGGAACUGAGACACGGUCCAGACUCCUACGGGAGGCAGCAGUAGGGAAUCUUCCGCAAUGGGCGAAAGCCUGACGGAGCAACGCCGCGUGAGUGAUGAAGGUCUUCGGAUCGUAAAACUCUGUUAUUAGGGAAGAACAUAUGUGUAAGUAACUGUGCACAUCUUGACGGUACCUAAUCAGAAAGCCACGGCUAACUACGUG
RNAcentral lists this ribosomal RNA (497 nucleotides) under uncultured bacterium. Its description in RNAcentral is "partial 16S ribosomal RNA". It matches the Rfam family "Bacterial small subunit ribosomal RNA", at positions 28 to 507 of the family's 1533-position model. The record is from RNAcentral.